CAGCUGUUCAGCCUGCAUCCAUGAUCCAUUAACCCAGGCCUUGCUGGGAAGGGGCCCAGAAAGCCAGAGCGUCCAGGCAACCCAGGUGAUUGUUAUACUCAGGAAGCUUUCAAAAAUACCUCUAGAUACAAGAAAUGCUCAGCUGCAGAGAAGCAUCCAUCAAGAGUCUAGCAGGGGCUCUUGUUCCAGCUGCUCCCUGUGACUCCCCACUGCUCUGCAUUCUGCCAUAUCCAGUGAUGGUUUAUGACACAAUUCACCAGGCAGCAAGCCAUGUGCCUCUUACAGACAGCAAUUAGGAGAAAGGAAAGGCCGAAUUACAAGCAUGUCAAUAAAGGCCCAGCGAACGCCCUCAACCAAUUCCUCCAUCUACAAGAAAAUACCCAAAGAGGGAACGUCAAAGCCAAGAAGCUUCAGUCGAGGUUUUCUGGAACAAAAUUGGCUUGCAUGAGAAAUGACUCUUUACUCAACAUGGUCUGACCAGAUCUGCUUGACAAGACUGUGGCUGAUAAUAUGUGGCAAAGGCAACACUGCCCAAUGCUAGCCAGAAAUGGAGAAAACAAACAAGAAAGGUGAGCCAAUGUGUCAUCGUCGUGGCAGCACACUCAAAGACAAGGACAAGAGUAAGUGUUCAUACUUAUUUCAAAAGAAUUCCC
RNAcentral lists this long non-coding RNA (653 nucleotides) under Homo sapiens (human). Its description in RNAcentral is "non-protein coding lnc-SMPX-6:1". The record is from RNAcentral. Lineage: Eukaryota; Metazoa; Chordata; Mammalia; Primates; Hominidae.